GGAUAAUCCUGGAGUUAAUGUAAGAUCAAUAAAGGAAUUAUUUAAUAUCAUGAAGGAGAAGGAUAAAACUGACUUUGAAAUGAAAGUGUCAAUGGUUGAAGUGUACAAUGAGUCAAUUUAUGAUCUAUUGAAGUCACCAAAUGAAGUACAAGAGAAACUUCAAAUACACAAAAAA
Amphimedon queenslandica is the source of this 175-nucleotide long non-coding RNA. RefSeq lists it as uncharacterized. The record is from RefSeq and is a predicted model, not a curated record. NCBI's taxonomy places the organism in Eukaryota, Metazoa, Porifera, Demospongiae, Haplosclerida, Niphatidae. The transcript has 2 exons.